AGAGUUUGAUCCUGGCUCAGGAUGAACGCUGGGCGGCGUGCUUAACACAUGCAAGUCGAACGAUGAUGCCAGCUUGCUGGUGGAUUAGUGGCGAACGGGUGAGUAACACGUGAGUAACCUGCCCUUAACUCUGGGAUAAGCCUGGGAAACUGGGUCUAAUACCGGAUAUGACUCCUCAUCGCAUGGUGGGGGGUGGAAAGCUUUUUUGUGGUUUUGGAUGGACUCGCGGCCUAUCAGCUUGUUGGUGAGGUAAUGGCUCACCAAGGCGACGACGGGUAGCCGGCCUGAGAGGGUGACCGGCCACACUGGGACUGAGACACGGCCCAGACUCCUACGGGAGGCAGCAGUGGGGAAUAUUGCACAAUGGGCGCAAGCCUGAUGCAGCGACGCCGCGUGAGGGAUGACGGCCUUCGGGUUGUAAACCUCUUUCAGUAGGGAAGAAGCGAAAGUGACGGUACCUGCAGAAGAAGCGCCGGCUAACUACGUGCCAGCAGCCGCGGUAAUACGUAGGGCGCAAGCGUUAUCCGGAAUUAUUGGGCGUAAAGAGCUCGUAGGCGGUUUGUCGCGUCUGCCGUGAAAGUCCGGGGCUCAACUCCGGAUCUGCGGUGGGUACGGGCAGACUAGAGUGAUGUAGGGGAGACUGGAAUUCCUGGUGUAGCGGUGAAAUGCGCAGAUAUCAGGAGGAACACCGAUGGCGAAGGCAGGUCUCUGGGCAUUAACUGACGCUGAGGAGCGAAAGCAUGGGGAGCGAACAGGAUUAGAUACCCUGGUAGUCCAUGCCGUAAACGUUGGGCACUAGGUGUGGGGGACAUUCCACGUUUUCCGCGCCGUAGCUAACGCAUUAAGUGCCCCGCCUGGGGAGUACGGCCGCAAGGCUAAAACUCAAAGGAAUUGACGG
RNAcentral lists this ribosomal RNA (898 nucleotides) under Arthrobacter sp. RNAcentral describes it as "bacterial SSU rRNA". It matches the Rfam family "Bacterial small subunit ribosomal RNA", at positions 8 to 916 of the family's 1533-position model. The record is from RNAcentral. Lineage: Bacteria; Bacillati; Actinomycetota; Actinomycetes; Micrococcales; Micrococcaceae.